This 498-nucleotide ribosomal RNA is filed under the name uncultured bacterium. RNAcentral's name for it is "partial 16S ribosomal RNA". It matches the Rfam family "Bacterial small subunit ribosomal RNA", at positions 28 to 507 of the family's 1533-position model. The record is from RNAcentral.
GACGAACGCUGGCGGCGUGCCUAAUACAUGCAAGUCGAGCGGACGGAUGGGAGCUUGCUCCCAGACCGUCAGCGGCGGCCGGGUGAGUAACACGUGGGCAACCUGCCUGUAAGACUGGGAUAACUCCGGGAAACCGGGGCUAAUACCGGAUAACUCUUUCCCUCACAUGAGGGAAAGCUGAAAGAUGGCAUCUCGCUAUCACUUACAGAUGGGCCCGCGGCGCAUUAGCUAGUUGGUGAGGUAACGGCUCACCAAGGCGACGAUGCGUAGCCGACCUGAGGGGGUGAUCGGCGACACUGGGACUGAGACACGGCCCAGACUCCUACGGGAGGCAGCAGUAGGGAAUCGUCCGCAAUGGACGAAAGUCUGACGGAGCAACGCCGCGUGAGUGAUGAAGGUUUUCGGAUCGUAAAACUCUGUUGUCAGGGAAGAACAAGUACCGGAGUAACUGCCGGUACCUUGACGGUACCUGACCAGAAAGCCACGGCUAACUACGUG